UACGUAGGGACCAAGCGUUGUUCGGAUUUACUGGGCGUAAAGGGCGCGUAGGCGGCAAAUUAAGUCAUCUGUGAAAUCUCCGAGCUUAACUCGGAACGGUCAGGUGAUACUGAUCUGCUAGAGUGCGGAAGGGGCAAUCGGAAUUCUUGGUGUAGCGGUGAAAUGCGUAGAUAUCAAGAGGAACACCGAUGGCGAAGGCAGGUCUCUGGGCAUUAACUGACGCUGAGGAGCGAAAGCAUGGGGAGCGAACAGG
Molecule: ribosomal RNA, 253 nt
Filed under: uncultured bacterium
Lineage: Bacteria
Description: partial 16S ribosomal RNA
Rfam family: Bacterial small subunit ribosomal RNA
Source: RNAcentral